Molecule: ribosomal RNA, 478 nt
Filed under: uncultured organism
Description: partial 16S ribosomal RNA
Rfam family: Bacterial small subunit ribosomal RNA
Source: RNAcentral
GUACACUCCUGCGGGAGGCAGCAGUGGGGAAUAUUGCACAAUGGGCGCAAGCCUGAUGCAGCCAUGCCGCGUGUAUGAAGAAGGCCUUCGGGUUGUAAAGUACUUUCAGCGGGGAGGAAGGCGAUAAGGUUAAUAACCUUGUCGAUUGACGUUACCCGCAGAAGAAGCACCGGCUAACUCCGUGCCAGCAGCCGCGGUAAUACGGAGGGUGCAAGCGUUAAUCGGAAUUACUGGGCGUAAAGCGCACGCAGGCGGUCUGUCAAGUCGGAUGUGAAAUCCCCGGGCUCAACCUGGGAACUGCAUUCGAAACUGGCAGGCUAGAGUCUUGUAGAGGGGGGUAGAAUUCCAGGUGUAGCGGUGAAAUGCGUAGAGAUCUGGAGGAAUACCGGUGGCGAAGGCGGCCCCCUGGACAAAGACUGACGCUCAGGUGCGAAAGCGUGGGGAGCAAACAGGAUUAGAAACCCGAGUAGUCCCAUGA